AGCAGCCGCGGUAAUUCCAGCUCCAAUAGCGUAUAUUAAAGUUGUUGCAGUUAAAAAGCUCGUAGUUGAAUUUCGGGAUCAAUAUGUCGGUCGUGCCUUCGGUACGUACUGGUAUCAUUGGUCUCUCCUUUCUGAAGAACCAUGAUGUCAUUUAUUUGGUGUCGUGGGGAAUCAGGACUGUUACUUUGAAAAAAAUUAGAGUGUUUAAAGCAGGCUCACGCUUGAAUACAUUAGCAUGGAAUAAUGAAAUAGGACGUUUGAUUCUAUUUUUGUUGGUUUCUAGGAUCGACGUAAUGAUUAAUAGGGAUAGUUGGGGGCAUUAGUAUUCAAUUGUCAGAGGUGAAAUUCUUGGAUUUAUUGAAGACUAACUACUGCGAAAGCAUUUGCCAAGGAUGUUUUCAUUAAUCAAGAACGAAAGUUAGGGGAUCGAAGACGAUCAGAUACCGUCGUAGUCUUAACCAUAAACUAUGCCGACUAGGGAUCGGAUGAUGUUAAUUUUUUAAUGACUCAUUCGGCGCCU
Molecule: unclassified non-coding RNA, 520 nt
Filed under: uncultured Glomus
Lineage: Eukaryota; Fungi; Glomeromycota; Glomeromycetes; Glomerales; Glomeraceae
Description: SSU rRNA
Rfam family: Eukaryotic small subunit ribosomal RNA
Source: RNAcentral